Molecule: long non-coding RNA, 10297 nt
Filed under: Arabidopsis thaliana (thale cress)
Lineage: Eukaryota; Viridiplantae; Streptophyta; Magnoliopsida; Brassicales; Brassicaceae
Description: long non-coding RNA (ATHA_LNC000129)
Rfam family: tRNA (bases 3435-3506)
Source: RNAcentral
AAUUAUUACCUAAAUCGUUGAAUAUUUCAAUUUGAUGUAAUUUUACUUUUAACGAAUUAAAUAAUAAUUAUACCAAUGAUGAUGGGCCAAGCAAGUCGUGCAAGCAAAGAGUUAAGCUAGGUCCCACUCUCAUAAUAAGUCCAGAAAAUGGACGAUCUAGAUCUAGUGUAGUCUCUAUCCAACUCUAAUCUUCACCGUUUGUUAUUACACAAGUCAAAUAAGGAUAAAACUGUAAAUUCACAACAAAAUCGUCGAAAUAUCAUAUCAUUCACUGGUGGAGGAAACUGAAGAAAACGAUCCGAUAACAGCAUUUUCUAUUUUCUUCUGUGCCUCAAAAAAUCAUAAUUUUCUCGGAAAAUUAAAAAUCAUGUUUAAGAUUUUCUCGAGAAAGUAAAAAAAGGAAGAAGAAGAAGAAGAAACCAUGGGAAGAGCUUUCGUGUAUGUAAUUCUCGGAGGAGGUGUUGCUGCUGGUUACGCAGCUCUCGAAUUCACCCGUCGAGGUGUCUCCGAUGGCGAACUCUGUAUCAUUUCCGAAGAACCCGUAAGCUCUCGAAAUAUCUCUUUCUCUAAUGAAUCGAUUUUCAAUUUUUAUUGUGUUUGAUAACGAAAUCAUCGUUGUUGUUGUUUGGUCCUGAAUCGUUUUAUUCUGGUUUUUCACUCUGAUUUUUGAGUGACUCUGUAGUUGAUUUUACUAUUAGUAGUUUUGAUUGAAGAUUUGGUGGUUUGAUGAUUAUUAGAUUGAAACUGAUUAGGUUUGUAUUUGCUUGAGCUUCUGAUACUUAUAAUUAGAAAGUCUCAAACGAUUAAGAUAUAAUCAGGUGUUACUAAACGUAUUUUUAGUGUGAGUUUCGUUAAAGAUUAGGGUUUUGCUCAAGAUUCAUUCUAAUAUUUGCUUUGUCUAGGUUGCACCGUAUGAGAGGCCUGCCUUAAGCAAAGGUUUUCUGCUGCCAGAAGGUAAGAAAAAACCCGGUAGCUUGCGGUUUUCUACAUUUGGAGUUAGGGAAAGCUAAGAUGUAUGGAAUUUGGUUAUAUAGUUCAUUCAUUAGGCUCUGUAAAGGUUACUCAUGAUCUUAUCUGCAGCUCCUGCACGGCUUCCUUCUUUCCACACUUGUGUUGGAGCUAAUGAUGAGAAGCUUACACCGAAAUGGUACAAGGAUCAUGGUAAUUACAUUUGCACUUUCGAUUUGGAGAAACUACUGUUUUACUUGGUGGUAUGUCUACGGGAUUCUUUUCUGAUAAUACUUUUGUCAGGAAUUGAAUUGGUACUUGGAACUCGUGUUAAGUCCGUUGAUGUGAGGAGGAAGACUCUUUUAUCGAGCACAGGGGAGACUAUAAGUUACAAAUUCUUGAUCAUUGCAACAGGUGCCCGGGUAUGGCUUGCACAAUAAUAUUUAUGUUUUCGUUUAUCCAAAGUAAGAGUGUGUUCCGGUGACUAUUAGCAUAAACGAUAAAUCACUGGUUUUUAACAACGUAUUAUCCUCUUUAUGAUUUUGUAAUUAAUUGGCUGAAGACAAUGGGUUUUUGUAAUAGUUGAAUGUCUAGUAGAUGUUGUGAACAUUGUUGUAGGCAAAUCUGCUCACUCCUGAAAAUUGCCAAAGGAAUUUGUGCUAUUUUAAAACAUAGAACAUUAAACUGCUAAAGUUGUGGCCUUAUUCUUGUCACAUUUGGCUCGUGCAACUAGGCGUUGAAGCUUGAAGAAUUUGGGGUGGAAGGCUCAGAUGCUGAAAAUGUUUGUUACUUACGAGAUCUAGCUGAUGCAAAUAGGCUUGCCACUGUGAUUCAAUCAAGCUCCAACGGGAAUGCGGUUGUUAUCGGCGGUGGCUAUAUCGGUAUGGAGUGUGCUGCAUCUUUAGUGAUCAACAAAAUCAAUGUGACGAUGGUUUUCCCAGAGGCUCACUGCAGUAAGUUCUCUCGAUUAUUACUAAACUUACGUGUACGAGAGAAAGGUUGUGUAUUUAGCUUGACCUUUUUAGUUUCUUAUGACAGUGGCACGUCUCUUUACGCCCAAGAUUGCAAGUUUGUAUGAAGACUACUACAGGGCUAAAGGCGUAAAAUUUAUAAAAGGAACGGUUUUGACAUCAUUUGAGUUUGACUCGAACAAAAAGGUAAGAUCGUUUCUUUUAGCUUGAGAUUCAACUCGAAAAAUGUCUGGUACGUUGCAUCUAUGUAUACAACUAAGGAUGGCAAGAAUCAGUAGAACCACAGAUACUUCUGGUCCAGUACUCAAACUAUGAAAUCUUGAGCCUUGUUCAAUGUAUUUGUUUAUUGAUAUGAGGUUUUUUGGUUUUCGAUUUACAGGUUACUGCAGUUAAUCUCAAAGACGGGAGCCACUUACCAGCCGACUUGGUUGUGGUUGGUAUCGGGAUACGACCAAACACAAGCUUGUUUGAAGGACAGUUAACAAUAGAGAAAGGAGGGAUAAAAGUGAACAGCAGAAUGCAGUCAAGUGACAGCUCAGUGUAUGCAAUAGGCGAUGUAGCUACAUUUCCAGUGAAACUAUUUGGCGAAAUGAGGAGGCUUGAGCACGUGGACUCAGCUAGGAAAUCUGCGCGACACGCAGUUUCAGCCAUCAUGGAUCCAAUAAAGACCGGAGACUUUGAUUACUUACCAUUUUUCUACUCAAGGGUCUUCGCAUUCUCAUGGCAAUUCUAUGGAGACCCUACAGGUGAUGUUGUGCACUUUGGAGAGUAUGAAGACGGGAAAUCAUUUGGAGCGUAUUGGGUUAAAAAGGGUCACCUUGUUGGAUCUUUUCUUGAAGGAGGCACUAAAGAAGAAUAUGAAACUAUCUCAAAGGCGACACAAUUGAAACCAGCUGUGACUAUUGAUUUGGAAGAAUUGGAAAGAGAAGGACUCGGGUUUGCUCACACGGUUGUGAGUCAGCAGAAAGUUCCUGAAGUUAAGGAUAUUCCGAGCGCUGAGAUGGUGAAGCAAUCUGCAAGUGUGGUCAUGAUAAAGAAGCCUUUGUAUGUAUGGCACGCAGCUACUGGAGUCGUUGUGGCUGCAUCUGUGGCUGCGUUCGCGUUUUGGUAUGGGAGGAGACGCCGUAGAUGGUGAGGAAAAAAAAAACUCUUCAAGUGUUGGAUUCAUUGGAAAUGGAACUUGCUGUUGUUUGUAGCAUUGGUGGGAGAAAUAUAGAAGGGAGAGUCCAAACUACUCAAUGUGAUUACAUUGGUAUACGAUUAUUAUAUGCUUCUUUUAAAAUGCAUAAACGUUUCCACUACAAACUUUGAUUCAACGUCUUUGAAGCCCUUUGUUACUUGUUAGUGUUCAUAAUCUUGUGAUUAUUGGUAGAGUUAAUUCGGCAAUACGGCAAUACCCAUAAAAUUAGAAAAAUAGCAAUGAGGAGCUAGCUAACAAAUAAUUUUGCACACUUAUUUAAUUGUUAUGACAGAAAUCAUAAUUAAUAAACAAACUAAAUGUGAUUAGAACAACAAGGGCGUUUGGUCUAGUGGUAUGAUUCUCGCUUUGGGUGCGAGAGGUCCCGAGUUCGAUUCUCGGAACGCCCCUUUUUAUUUUUUUAACUCCUCAACGUCAGGCCUCACGGGUAUUUUCGUAAACAUACAAACGAUACAACCUCAUCUAUUUGUAUAUGCGCAUGAUAGCAAACGUACGCAAUAUUCUAUUCCCCAAAAUACCCCUUAUCCAUCAUUUUUCUAUCCUCUCAUCUUUCAUCUUCCUCACACACAAUCCAAUCAAAACACACAGAGAGAAGAAAAACUCAGAAGAAAAGCCAAAGAGUGAAACAAAAAUGGCGUCGACGACUCUCUCAAUCGCAACAACAAUCCGUUCCUCAUCUUAUCCUACUCUCGCUUCCAUCAAUCACUUCCCUUCCCGAACCACCACCAUCGAAUUCCCCUCUCGCUUCGGUGGUGGUUCAUCAUCCACAUUGACCCACCGUGCAACCCAUCUCCGUCCAAUCGCCGCCGUCGAAGCUCCGGAGAAAAUCGAGAAGAUCGGAUCCGAAAUCUCAUCCCUAACCCUCGAAGAAGCUCGUAUCCUCGUCGACUAUCUCCAAGACAAAUUCGGUGUCUCCCCACUCUCUUUAGCCCCCGCAGCAGCGGCGGUUGCUGCUCCAGCCGACGGUGGCGCGGCGGCUGUAGUGGAGGAGCAAACAGAGUUCGAUGUGGUUAUCAAUGAAGUUCCGAGUAGUUCUCGUAUUGCAGUAAUUAAAGCUGUUAGGGCUUUGACUAGCUUGGCGUUGAAGGAAGCUAAGGAGCUAAUCGAAGGAUUACCAAAGAAGUUUAAAGAAGGUAUCACUAAAGAUGAAGCUGAAGAAGCUAAGAAGACUCUUGAAGAAGCUGGUGCUAAAGUCUCCAUUGCUUAAGGUUUUUAUAAAAAAAAAAAAAGAAGUUGUUAUCUUUUCUGGAAUUUGAUUGGUCUUUUGUGUUGUUUAGUAUAGUUUGCGUCUGGAAUUGUUGAGAAAUUGUUGUAAUUUGAAUCACAUUUGGUUUCCCAUUAGCUGAUUUCGCCAUUGAUGUGAGCUUUUUGGUAGCUGCACAUAACAUGUUUGUUGAAAUGCCUAAAUGAGGCAAAUCACUCGUAGUUGCUUAACAUGAAACAGAGUUAAAAAUAAUAAGCACAAAUGUCACUGCUACAUUUUUUUACUUAGUAUUGUAACACUCAUGAAAUAUUUAGGAUAUAUUAUAAACGAGAUCAUGUAUGAAUACAAAAACACAGCAUAUUAACACCAAGUUUGAGGCAUUGUCCACCUAAGAAACCUUGUUCUUUGCAGUGCUUAUUGCAGUCCGGAAAUUUUGAGCAUAGACCUUCCACAAGGUACCACCCUCCUUGAGCUUUGGCCAUAGAUUUUGCGUGUACUUCACCUAUCGUUUUCCAAAGAUUGUUGUAAUAUUAGAAAAAAAGUCGUUACUCGUUUAGACAUAAAGGCAAAAGAAAAAGAAAAUUCACUCGACAAGAAUCUCUUGCAGCUGGUAACAACGCAAUAUCACUAUGUAUUUUAUUUUAUUUUUUGUGAUAACAAGUUAAUAUCACAAUGUAUUGUGAAUCACAAUGUAUUGUGAAAAUAAUAGUGUAUACAAUAUGUAUGGAGAUAUGAUCUAAUGUCUGAUAUAAAAUAAGUAUUCGGUUUGCUAGUUAGUGUUGAGUGUUAACUCAUGAAUCUUGCUACUUUGGUUAUACUUCAGUAUAUAUGAAUAAAUUGAAUUAAACAGAAAAAAAAUAUAAACGUUUUUUUGGCAUACUUGGGGCGAGAAGAACAAUCAUGCAUAAGAACACAAGGAAGGCGCAUUUGCUUGAUGAAGCCAUUUUUGGUUUUUGUAUUGUUUAUUUUUCUAAUAUUUGCUAAUGGAACACAAUAUUACUCAAAACCCUUAUUAAUAUAUAUAUAUAUAUAUCUGUAUAUAUAGAGAGAGAAAUAUGAUGAGUUUUUUACUUUGUAAAUAAAAUUGGAUUCUUUUCUUAUUUAAUCUAGGAUAUUUUAUUACAUUUAAGUUAUGGUUUUAUUUUAUAUAUAUGAAAUUUUUAAUAAUCAUGAUAUGGGAUGGGGUGGAUUUAAUUAGUGAUGAUUAUAGGAUUUAGAUUCAAUUUUUUCUAUUAGUUUAUUUUCAUUAUGAUAACUUUAGGUAUCCUACUAUAUUAUUUAGGAAGUACAUUUUAAAUGUAACCUUAACUUUUGUAAUUAAUUACAUGACAAUGCCAUUAGAAAAGUUUAAUAAAAAAAAUCCUUUAAUGACGUCAUUAAGGUUACCAAAAUCAUUUAACGACAAUAUUAAUCUCUUAAUUAUAGGGUUUAUUGGAUCUACAGACGGGUUAGCAAAAUAUACUGAAUAUUCAAAUAUCUAUCUGUUAGCAAAUUAUAAACAAAUAAGUUCGUAAAAGAAUUUCAUAUUUUAUAUACGAAAUCAACUAAAUCUUAAUCACAUAAAAAUUAGCACAAAAAAAAAGUAUUCAACCAUUAAAAAAUUAUCAAAUCUCUGUGUUAUAUAAGUUUUGAUAGUAUAUUCGAAUAAAGUGUAAUAUACCUUUUCAAUUUGUAUUCUUUAACUAAUUUAAGCUAACUAAUAUAUUUUCUAAUCUUAUACCUAUCAAAACCGACUAUCGUUUCUUAUCUCUAUAGUAUUUUUGCAAGACUUUUUUGGUAGAUUUGGGUAAAAGUGCAUUCGGGUCAUAUGGUACAUUCUCUAUUAAAUAAAUAUGGUGCACUCAUAUGUUAUUAGCUAAAAUGUUUAGAUUAUAAUUCAGAGUCAUAUCAUAAAUAAAAUUAAUAUUAAUCAAAUAAAUGGCUUUUUGGCAAGACGGAUUUGGAGGGACGGGUUUUUGAAUCAACAUUAAUAAAAAAGUAAAAUAUAAUUAAUCCACCAUUUCAGUACGAGUUAAAUCUUUAAUUUAUUAUUUUUUAAGACCACUAAUAUUAAACAUAUCAAAUCAUCCUAAUUUAGAAAAAAUUAUAUAAAACCAAAAUUGUUAUAUGGUAUGUAUAAUGUUACUAUAUAUAAAAUUAAACAAUAAAAUAUAAAACUUUAACUUAAAAACUGCGGUAACAAUUAUAAACUGUAAAUAUAAAUAGUUUAUAAAAAUAAAAAUUUGCAAGUUUUAAUAUAUAUUACUUUUAAAAAAUAAAUCGUCCCGCGGUAUACCGCGGGUUAAAAUCUAGUUUAAUCAUUAAGAUUGAAGCAUAAAUAUUAUUAUUCUUAUUAAAUGAUUUCAUAGGAUUUAAGAAUUGCUAAUAAUAAUUUUUAUAAGAUUUAAUAGGGUUGAAGUAAAAUACUAAUUAAAAUUAAAUCCUAUAAAUAUUUUAAAUAGAUUAUAAACGAUAUAUGUGCUUAACAUAAACAGAAUUAAAAGUAAUAAGAACAAAUGUCACUGCAACAUUUUGCAAAUUAUUUUGCAACAUUUUUUACUUUUUAAAAUAUUGUAACACUCAUGAAAUAUUUUAAAUUGAUUAUAAACGAGAUUAUGAAUAAAUACAAGUACACAUCAUAUUAACACCAAGUUUGAGACAUGUUCCACCUGGAAAUUUUUGUUCUUUGCAGUGCUUAUUGCAGUCCGGAAAUUUUGAGCAUAGACCUUCGACAAUGUACCAUUUGUGAGCAGCGUUAACUUCGACCAUAGAUUUCGCGUGUACUUCACCUAUUGUUUUCCAAAAAUUAUUGUAAUAUUAAAAAAAAAAUUGUUGAACAUAAAAGGCAAAAAAAAAAAAAAAAAUCACUCGACAAGAAUCUCUUUCAAUGGGUUACAACGCAAUAUCACAAUGUAUUUUUUAUUUGUAAAAGCUUAAUAUCACAAUGUAUUGUGAAAAUAAAGUGUAUACAAUAUCUUUAACUAUAUGUGUGGAGAUAUGAUACAAAAUUUGAUAUAAAAUAAACAUUUGGUUUGCUAGUUAGUGUUAACUCAUGAAUUUUGCUAUUUUGAGAUAUAAUUAAACAGAAAAAAAUAUAAACGUUUUUUUGGCAUACUUGGGGCAAGAAGAGCAACCAUGCAUAAGAACACAAGGAAGACACAUUUGCCUGAUGAUGCCAUUUUUGGUUUUGUAUUGUUUAUUUUUCUAAUAUUUGCUAAUGGAACAUAAUAUUACUCAAAACUCUUAUGAAUAUAUAUAGAGAAAUAUGAUGAGUUUUUUCUUUUGUAAAUAAAAUUGGAUUCUUUUCUACUUUAAUCUAGGAUAAUUUAUUGCAUUAAGUUAUGGCUUUAUUAUACAUAUAUGAAAGUUUUAAUAAUCAUGAUAUGGGAUGGGAUGGAUUUAUUUAGUGAUGAUUAUAGGAUUUAGAUUCAAUUUCUUCUAUUGGUUUACUUUCCUUAUGAUAACUUUUUUGGGUAUUUAAUCACAAGAUUGAAGCAGAAAUAUUAUUUUUAUUAAAUUAUUUAAUAGGAUUUAAGCAUAGCUAAUAAUAAUUGUUAUAAGAUUUAAUAGGAUUGAAGAAAAAAAUACUAAUUCAAAUUAAAUCUUAUAAAACCCAAAAUCCGAAAACCGUCUCUUCAUCAACAAACUCAAAAUCUAUGAAAAUUAUCUAUUCAAAUCAUAAAUAUUCAAAUAUACGAAGUCACGAACCCUAAAUAAAGAUAGGGUUAAUUUCCUCAUCACAUCUAGAUGCCAGCACUAAAAACCCCUUUAAAGGCCUUAUUGAAACGAUGUUACUACAAAUGGAGUUAAAAGCUUAGAUAUAGAACUGAUAUUAUUAAGAUAAGACUGAAACAGAGAAACAAAGAGACAAGCAACUCUCGAGAGACACAAGUUGUCCCUAUAACUAUAAGGAAUCUAAACCAUUGUGAAACGGCUGUCCAAAGAAAAUAAUUCUCAUAUCUAACGUCCUUGCCUUCUUUAACACAAACCCUAAUAUAUAGAAAUGGAAACAAAUCAAAUGACUUUAGAAAGUAGAAAUUAUCAAAAAGUAAAAACCUAUCAUCCACAGUUUCAUAAAGGCAUAAAGUUAGGUUUUUACUUUUGCAUCUUUCAAUAAGAAAAAGUUAGGGUUUAUCUUGUUUUUCUUCCUCAUCUUCUUCUCUCGUGCAGCCCAAGGAACGCACACAGAGACACACAAACAAAAAAACAAACAAAGAAGAAGUAAAAUGGCAGCUACGACUCUUUCCAUCGCAACCACAAUCCGUUCCUCAUCUUUUUCUUCCGGUCUUGCUUCCGCACAUCACUUCCCUUCUCGACCCCUCUCGAUAGAAUUCCCCUUUAGCUUUGGUGUUUCUUCUUCUUCUACGCUCAGCCACCGUGCAAUCUACCUCCAUCCUAUAUCCGCUGUCAAAACUCCUAAGAAAAUUAAGAAGAUUGGAUCCGAGAUCUCGUCUCUAACCCUCGAAGAAUCCCGCAUCCUCGUCGACUAUGUCCAGGACAAGUUCGGUGUUUCAAUACUCUUUUCAGCACCUGCUGCAGCGGCUUUACCUCCUCCCCUUGACAAUGGUGGUGCGACGGCUUCUGUGGAGAGGCAGACCACAUUCGAUGUGGUUAUCAAUGACGUUCCACGUGGUAAUCGUAUUGCCGUGAUCACAGCCAUUAGGGCUAUGACUAGCUUGUCGUUGAGUGAAUCGAAAGAGCUAAUAGAAGGGUUUCCGAAGAAGUUUAAAGAAGGCGUGACCAAAGAUGAAGCAGAAGAAGACAAGACACAGCUCGAAGAAGCUGGUGCCAAGGUUUCCAUUGUUUAAGUUUUAACAAUCGGAGUUUUUAAAAUAUGAUGUGUUUUCUUUUCUUUUCUAGACUUUCAUAGAUCCAUUUAUUUGUUUCAAGAGACACAUAUAAGGUGCUUUUUUCAUUUCUAGUGUUUGUCUUAUUAUAAAGUUUGUUGUAAUUCUCACCACAAACUCUCUGUUUUUCUCGCAACCUCUGUUUUUGUUCUUGUUAAAACAGAAAAUACAAGAACACGUUUAAACACUUUAAUGUCUUCAUUGAUAAUAAACUUGAUAAUCUUACUCAACACAAAGACACACAUACAUAUAGUGGUUUAGCUCCACUUGCUACACUACACAUACUUAGACUCUAGACCGCAUCAUUGUCCUAAGACUUACAUGACCUACUUAGCUAUGUUGGAACUCCCAACUCCUUAAUUCACUCUUACACAACAUCUUUAGACUCUAUCUUAGACUAACAACCCAACACUCAUUAACUAAACAUAUUUGAGCCUAAUUCAUCUGCAGCCCAUUACAACAAAACACAAAGCCCAACAUCUCUUCUGUUGACUUUGUUCCUUCCUCUUCAUACGUCGUUGACCUUCUUGUCACGACAUUUUUUUCUUUUUUAAAAAACUAUAUAUUAUGAAAUCCGAGUAUACAUGAUUUGAAUAAAAGCGCGGGUAGGAAAACUGAGAAAACUAUUGGGUCAAAAUUGCAUUAUCAUGAAAUCAUAAAGAAAGGGCGUUUGGUCUAGUGGUAUGAUUCUCGCUUUGGGUGCGAGAGGUCCCGAGUUCGAUUCUCGGAACGCCCCUAUUUAGUUUUUUUCAACUUUUUAGAUCGUAUAUACACGCGCAUGAUAGCAAAGUCUGCGCAUUACUUUUAAUGACAAAAAUACCCCUUAUCUUUUGUUUUUUUAUCCUCCUCAUCUUCUACAAACACACUCACAGAGACACACAAAACAAAUCCCAAAGCUUCAGAGGAAGAAGAAGAAGAGAGUGAGAAACAAUGGCGUCGACGACUCUCUCAAUCGCAACAACAAUCCGUUCCUCUUCUCCUCUCACUUCCGCUUCCACUCAUCACUUCCUUUCCAAACCCACCGCAAUCGAAUUCCCAUUUCGUCUCAGCUCUUCUUCUAGCCACCGUGCAAUCAACCUCCGUCCUAUCUCCGCCGUCGAAGCUCCGGAGAAAAUCGAGAAAAUCGGAUCCGAAAUCUCCUCCUUAACCC